RNAcentral lists this ribosomal RNA (374 nucleotides) under uncultured organism. RNAcentral describes it as "partial 16S ribosomal RNA". It matches the Rfam family "Bacterial small subunit ribosomal RNA", at positions 527 to 896 of the family's 1533-position model. The record is from RNAcentral.
GUAGGUGGCAAGCGUUGUCCGGAAUUAUUGGGCGUAAAGCGCGCGCAGGUGGUUCUUUAAGUCUGAUGUGAAAGCCCCCGGCUCAACCGGGGAGGGUCAUUGGAAACUGGGGAACUUGAGUGCAGGAGAGGAAAGUGGAAUUCCACGUGUAGCGGUGAAAUGCGUAGAUAUGUGGAGGAACACCAGUGGCGAAGGCGACUUUCUGGCCUGUAACUGACACUGAGGCGCGAAAGCGUGGGGAGCAAAAAGGGAUUAGAUACCCUGGUAGUCCACGCCGUAAACGAUGAGUGCUAAGUGUUGGGGGGGUUUCCCGCCCCUCAGUGCUGCAGCUAACGCAUUAAGCACUCCGCCUGGGGAGUACGGUCGCAAGACUG